CCUGACCGAGCACGCCGCGUGAGUGAAGAAGGUUUUCGGAUCGUAAAGCUCUGUUGUAAGAGAAGAACGUGUGUGAGAGUGGAAAGUUCACACAGUGACGGUAACUUACCAGAAAGGGACGGCUAACUACGUGCCAGCAGCCGCGGUA
Molecule: ribosomal RNA, 148 nt
Filed under: uncultured Streptococcus sp.
Lineage: Bacteria; Bacillati; Bacillota; Bacilli; Lactobacillales; Streptococcaceae
Description: partial 16S ribosomal RNA
Rfam family: Bacterial small subunit ribosomal RNA
Source: RNAcentral